UUGUGGGAGCUGCCAUUACUACAGACUCUCAGAUUCUAUGGGAACCAAGCCUGGAGCCAAAAACAUUGGCCCAACAGGCUGAACUCAUUGCCCUCACUGAGACCUCAAGUUGUCAGUAUGCAUUUGUUACUGCCCAUGUUCGUGGGACCAUUUAUCAAGAAUGGUGCUUAUUGGCUUCUGGGGCCAAAAGAUUAAAAAUGUUUCCCAAAUUUUGGACUUGUUGGCUGCCAUCUGGAUGCCAGGAAGAGUGGCUAUUAUCCACUAUAGAGCCCAUUGAGCAGGAGAUGGCCUUGUUAUAUGAGGAAAUAAUUUGGCAGAUGCCACCACCCAAAAGGCAGCUGUAGAAUCAGUGGGGAUUUGAGAUAGCCCUGACAUCACUGCAUUCCCACCUACUUUGUCAGAGCCUAUUUGCACUUGAAAAGACUUGCAUUUGGGGGCUAAUAUCAAAGCUUGCCCAGUCUGUGAGUCUCAGAUGCCCUCAGUGCCAUUUGGUGAACCCAAAGCAGCCACUCACUAAGUGGGACUAUGCCUAGAGAACACUGGAAGGUAGACUUUACAGAAGUGGGGAAGCCUGGACUUCAAUGAUAUGAGUAUUCACUUAUAAUGGUUGAUACUUUCACUGGAUGGGUAAAAGCUUUUUCUACAAAAUCUGAGUCAGCUCUGAUAGUAGUCAAAAAACUCUUACAUGAGGUUGUCCCACAAUUUGGCCUCCCCUUAUCAAUGGGGCCUUACAAUGGGCCGGUUUUUAUGGCCCAGAUAACUCAAAAACUAACCAAAGUCUUGCAGAUCAAUUGGAAACUCCAUUGUGCUUACUGCCUCCAAAGUUGAAGACAAGUAGAAAAGAUAAACCAGACAUUAAAGAUGGUAAUUACUAAUGGCCUUAGAAACUGGUGAGAACUGGGGAGUCUCCUUCCUUUUUUGACCUCUUGUAUGCACAGUGUACCCUCUAUGUUACUGGUAUUUCCCCUUUUGAGGCUUUAUAUGAGAGAACUCCUCUUAUACCUAAGAUUUUUGAGGAAAAAUUAGCUGAUUUAGCUAAUCAAGAUCUUAUUAAGUCUCCCCAAACUCUUUAGCCAGUUCUGACUUCCACCCACUGGUUAUUUUGACAACAACAUCCUCCACCUGCAGCCCACUGAGAGAACAAACACCCUUCUGUAGAGCCUGAGUCACCUGUGCUCAUCAAGAGGCUUCACCGUGGAUCUCUUGAGCCAUUGAAAAGGUCCCUACAUUGUAGUCCUCAGCACUCCAACUGCUAUCAAAGUAGCCAGAAAGCCUGCCUCGAUGCAUCAUUCCCACUUCAAGCAGGUCCUGGCUUCCAAAGGCGAUCAACCUACAGAUAAGUGGACUGUCAUUCCCUCCAAGGACUCUUUAAAGCUCAAGACUGCCAAAUUAGGACUUCCGGGACAACAUGGUGGACAGAUAGCAGAUACUACGGAGGCUCUCUGAAAGGCUUGGUUCAGAAGUCAGGAAUGGUGCGGACUAAGGAGACAUAAGCCGGUAGAGAUAUGCUCUGCUGACUCAGGAACAAACUGGGCUGAGAGAAACCAACUUGGAAUGCAGUCCUGGUGCUAAAACAGGAACAGAAAAGCCUCGGUGUGGAGUCUAGACCCCGCGCCAAAGGAAGCCAUGAUUUGGGUUUCCUGGCGCACUGCGGCUGGCUGCCUCUACAUCGGCUCGGCAAGGACAGAGACACGCAGAAGCUCUGAGAACGGGAGUCUGUGAACGGAGUCGAAAACAGGAUAGCCAGGGAGGCGUACACUGACUUGUGGUGAGGUGAGUGAGAGAAACUGACACUCUACCACAGUUUGACUCCAGUGGAGGACUUUCUGGGCCCAGGCAGUCCUGCGGGAGCAGGGCGCGGUGGCGACUCCAGCCACACAUUCCCCUCUCGGACGGGAUUGGUGAAAAGUGCCUGGCCUGCGUGACGCUGCUGGUGGACUAGGUAGGCUGGCCCAACCCAGAUCCCAGAGCCUGACGGUGGCCCGGAGGGGCGACUCCCAUGUAGGCUGCCUAGUCCGUAACUCCCUGGUGCACUGCGUUGGGUGGGAACACCUAGUCAGCACAAUUCGAUCAGGCUGUGGCUGACAGGGAGGGAAGCUGGGCCUCCUGUGUAAACUUGCAUAUAUAAGGAACAGAAAAUAUGGGAAAAGGCAGCAACAAGAACGGCUCCUCGGCCCCCAAUUCUGAGAAACAGGCAAUAGCGGACACCGCACCAAUAGACAUAAAGCGCCAUAUAGAGAGCCUCAUAGACCAAUUCAGGAAUGAAGUUAUCAACGACCUGAAGCUAGAAGUAUGCAGAAUAGUUAGAGAAAUGCUAAGCACCACCCUGGAAAAAACAGAUGGUGGAAUGGAAGAACAGAAAAAGAGGGGAGAAUUGUUUGAUGGAGAAAACAGAGAAAGCAUAGAGUAUGUGAAGCAGGUUCAAAGGGACUAUCAAGAAACUAAGAAGUCUAUCCAAGACUGGCAUAACAGCUUGAAGGAAACUAAGGACAGACUAUCUGAACUGGAGGGCAUGCUUGUAAUAUGGGAGAAUGAAAUGAAAAACUUCUUAAAAAUAACAAAGAAACAAACAGCAAUAAUAGAAAGACAAGAAGAUGAUAAGAGGAUCCAUAACUUAAGGGUUAAGAACAUAAAAGAAGAAGUAGGGACACAAACAAGUGAACUACAAAAGCUACUCACAGAAAUAAUCCAGGAGAAUUUUCCUAAUUUAGCAAAAGGUAAAGAUACUCAGAUGUAUGAGGCAUACAGGACCCCAGCUACCUACAACCCAAACAGAGCAACACCCAGGCAUAUAAUAAAAAUUCCAGAAAUUCAAUAAAAGAACAGAAUAUUAAAAGCUGUCAGAGACAAGAAACAGACCACUUACAAGGGAACACCCAUCAGAAUUACAGCAGAUUUCUCUGCACAAACCAUCAAAUCAUGAAGAGCGUGGGGGGAAACAAUUCAAACUUUUAAAGAUAAUAAUCUCCAGCCAAGAUUGAGAUAUCCUGCACAACUGUCCCUGGAAAUUGAUGGAAAAACAAGGUGCUUCCAGGAUAAAGAGGAACUGGGGGAAUUUGCAACCACCAAUUCAACUCUAUAGAAAGUAUUGCAGGAUAUUCUAAAAAAAAAAAAAUACAAAGAACCCAGAAAUAGUGGUGGGGAGGCCACAACGAAUGGAGCAGAGAACAAAAUGAAGAAGACAAACUGACAGCUACUGACAGAAUAAGAGCUCAACAGAAAUGAGACAGAGAAGAUUGGAUGAUAGGAACAGCUAUUUUGGAGAAAAUGACAUCUUAAUAGGUAAUACUGAUUUAGUAUCAUCUUGUUUUAAAGUCUCAUCUAGCUUUUGUUCUUCUGUCUCCAAUGGUCUAAAUAGGUUGUAUCUUAUUGGAGUUUAUUAUGUACGAUAGUAUAAGCAAAAACCUUUUAAAGACAAGGAGAUUAUACAGAAACCAUUGUUCAUUUUCUGUUAGUCGAUUCUAAAUACUCUGUAAUGCUGUCAUUCUCUUAAAUGGUUUUACAUUGUUUUGAUAAACUUAAUGCUACCGUAUACGAAGUUGUACUCAAGGACUUCAAGGAAAGAGUCAAUAUGGUAAUUACUUUGGGUUGGAAUUAUCUGGUGGUGAAACACUAUUCUGCUUAAAUGUUUAUGUUUUGAUCUGCGCUGUUUCGCUGUUAUGCCCUUUUUUAUCCCAAUCUCCACUCCAUUAUUUACUCUUUUAUUUUUAUUCAUUUAAUUAAAGGGAAAAAUAGCAGGAUAUAUUAUAGUAACCCACUUUGACUUUCUAUUAUCUCAAUUUGAAGCCUUGUAUUACUCUCACCAUCUUGUUUUUGACUGAUGUUCCCCUAUUCUGUUUUGCUGGAUAUUAUCAGGUUCGAACGUUUAGGCAUCAGCUGUGAAGAUAAUGAGAUUCAUUAUGACGCCCAUUCUCGUUGACUUUUAUCUACUUUUGAAGACCUACAAAGUCUCCAAUGGUUUGCUUUUGUCGGUUUUGUUCUUUACUGUUUUGUUCAAUUGUAUUAUAACUAAUGAUAUAGGCAAUUCAAUUAGAGAUAGCUGGAGGCAUUAUGGUAACCACUGUUGAUCACCGUGUAUUAUGUUUUUACAUUAUCUAUUAUGUCCACCCUUUUGACUUGACCGAUUCUGUUCUGUUAUGUCACAUUUGGUUUUACUCUCUUCCAAAAAAGCAAUAAGAACCGUGGGAGCAAUGAAACCCAAAAUGUGUAAUAGUCAUUGUACAAAAGAGAGGAAAAGAAAGUGCUCUAAACUAUAUAACUGCAUGUAUAUUUAAGUGUAUAAGUUAGAAAAUGAUAUCACAGAGUUUUAAAUCAUUGAACAGAACUGUUUGCAGUAUCAUUGUUGGAAUGUCCACUCUACAAGCUUUAAUUUUGUGACUUUAACAAUUAUUUCUAAGAUGGCAAUAUGUAAUCCAUUAACUAGUGAUUUCCUACUGUUCAUUUUUUUUCUGUAAAUCUGUAUAACUUGUACCCUUUCACUGUUUUUUUCUCUUUUCUCCUUAAAUAAAAUUUAAAAAAAAAGUAACUAGGAUUUUCUGUGUGACUAGAAGACUGAUGUGCCUCUUUCUAACUUAAAAUGUGACUGCUAGAUGAUAAUUUAUAAAUUUAACCUGUGAGCUUCAAAGAUACAGAAAUUUAAAUGAAGUAUAGCCUUGUCCUGUUACUAAGAAAGGUUACCUAGAUAAUUAAGUGAGAGACAAAUGUCUGGAGACUCUUUUGCCCAGAUUAAGGAGUAAUGCUCCUCCAGUCAGUUGUUCUAUCUAUCUCUAGAGGAGAGUUACUCUAAAAAACCUGAAAAGUACUCUACCACCAACUCACCUUUUAAUGUAUGCUCCCUUAUAAUACAUGUUUACAAAGUCAUGCUUCCUUCGCUAAACAUUCUUUAUGGAAACAAAGCUCAUGAGCUAUCUGGGAAUAUAGGAUUGUGUGCCAGUUCCAGGGUAGAUAGGCUGACAGAAACUAUGGUCCAUUCUCUCCAGAAGGCAUUCACCUGCCCUGGAGCAGUUUCAACCCAAGAGACACGUGGGGAACAUCUAUCAAACAGGAAAAAAAAGGACACCUUAUUUUAACUCAUUUUAUGUAUAACUAGAUAGCUCAAUAUCACUCAUAGCUCAUCAAACGGUCCUUAGUUCAAUGCCUGGGUACAGAAAAGGUUUCAUACUUAUGCCUUGCUUUUACAUUAUAGACAUGGACAACAAAAUGUCAAAGCCCAUUCUCCUUUGGAACACAUUCUUAGGCACUAGAUGUUCGAGCCUUCCAUGUUGAAAAAGAUCCAAUUGGUAUUUCUCUGCAUGAGUGUGUGGCCUACCUACCCCCAAGAGCCUUAGUGGAAUACAGAGCAGCACUGAUUUAUUUUGUCCUGGACCAGCGACACAGUGCAGUUGGAGUUUGCAAAAGCUGUGUUCCCACUGGAUCACAAACAGUCCCUAUGCAAGACUCUUACUGGGCCCACAACCAGGUGAGUGAUUGGAUUAGAAAUCAUUUCCAGACAUGUGUUCUUGAAGGCUGAAGAAGAGUGAGAACUAAACCAUUCAAUUAUUUUAAGUUAUCAGUUAUUCAAUAAGAAAAGAAGGAACAAUUUUCUGCCUCCUUAGAUGGAUUAUGAGAGGCAUUGAUAAAGCAUACUUCUUUAGAUUCUGAUUCAAUAGAGGGACAAAUUAUCCUUAAAGAUAAGUUUAUUACACAGUCAGCCUCAGCUAUUAGAAAAAAGCUACAAAAGAUGGCUUUUCCUCCAGAUAGUCCACUUGAUACUUUAUUUAUUCAUUCAUUUUGUGUGUGUUGGAGUUUGUGGAUCAAACACAACACACAUUUGACAGGCAAGUGAUUUUGCUACUGAGCUAAACCCCCAGCUCACUUGAUACUUUAGUAAAAGUUGCCUCCUCAGUAUUUUAUAACUGUGAUGAGAGGAAGGUCAAAGAGAGAAAACAAAGAGACUGAGAAAAAGCAGCUGCUUUUGCGCAGCAUUAAGAGAAACAGACCCUAAGUCUGAUUCUCAGGUCUCCAAGAAGAGCUCAACGAUGACUUUCACCUGCCAUCACUGCCACAAGCCAGGUGACCUUAAGAGGGACUGCACUCAAAAGCCCCCUGGGCCAUGCCCUGACUGCAGACGUGACCACUGGAUGUCAGACUGCCCUCUCAGCCCAAGGCCCCACCAGGGUUCAGAUUCAUCCUACCUUUACCUCUUAUCAAAAUAACAAAUACACCUCAAAACCUAGGCCUCAGUCCGCUUGAAAUGCCUUAUGGAUGCCCUUUCCUCACUGAUGAUUUUCUCUUUGUCAGAGAAACAGAUGCCUUAUAAAAAGACAUCACCUCAUUGGCUAAAUUCCAGCAAACUCUUCAAGAGCUUACAGAAGCUCAGCCUACAGAGAAAGGAAAACCUAUCUUCCACCCUGGAGAUUUAGUACUGGUAAAAUCCCCUCCCUCAUCAGCCAUUGGGAAGGACCUUACACUGUGAUCCUGUCGACUUCUUCCAUGCUGAAGACAAGAGGCCUGGACACUCGGAUGCAUCACACCUGACACAAACCCUGGAAACUUGAGACUAUCACUGGAUGUGAACAACCACCCACAUACUCCUGUGAACGCACAGAAGACCUAAGAUUCCUCUUCAAGAAGAAAACAAAGACUUCAGACUUAGAGCUGUAUGCCUACCCAUGAUGAAAAUGCCUGGUAUCUAUUGAGGGCCUCUAGACAGGAUCUCUGCAGAAGUAUCUCUGACUGCUGGUCACCACUACAACCCUCUUCAGCCUGAAGAAGCCAGAUCAGUCAUCACCCAUGACACCCUCAUGGCAGUUCUUGUUACUUCUUCAGAGAGGGGACUGUUAUAAGCAGCUGAGUUAGUUAGAAAUACUACAGGAAGUGAGACAGGGCUAGGUCCUCAAAGGAGCCAGUGCAGAAGCUCAGAUACCUUGCAACUAAGGGGAAGACAAGCACCUGCUGCUGUGGGCCAAGCCUCAAGAUAAAAGACCAUACAAAUACAUCCAUAUCCUAAGGAGUGAAGUUCUAAAGAGUUCCCCAGCACGCUGAGGAAGUAAGGAGUGACAUUCCAAACCUUUAGGGAAGAUUCACUGCUCUCUAAGAAUUCCUGCAUUCUAAGUGAUUCCCUUCCCGUUUUGUCCCCACUUUAAUCAAUUUUACCUGAACUAUUAAUCUUAUUGGUUAGCCUUAGUUUUGUACCACCUUAUGCCCAUCUGCCUUGUGAGUACCCAGUUUCCCCAUGUUAAACCCUUUGUAUGCCAUGAUUUCCUAGAACCGUCUGGAAAAUAUAGAGUCCCUGGCAACCCGCUUUUGUCUCUCUCUCAGACAGAAGCUUGUUUUCUCUCAAUAAAUGUAUUCUACUCUUAA
Molecule: long non-coding RNA, 7341 nt
Organism: Cavia porcellus (domestic guinea pig)
Lineage: Eukaryota; Metazoa; Chordata; Mammalia; Rodentia; Caviidae
Exons: 4
Source: RefSeq, a predicted model, not a curated record